GACGAACGCUGGCGGCGUGCCUAAUACAUGCAAGUAGAACGCUGAAGGAGGAGCUUGCUUCUCUGGAUGAGUUGCGAACGGGCGAGUAACGCGUAGGUAACCUGCCUGGUAGCGGGGGAUAACUAUUGGAAACGAUAGCUAAUACCGCAUAAUAGUAGAUGUCGCAUGACAUUUGCUUAAAAGGUGCAAUUGCAUCACUACCAGAUGGACCUGCGUUGUAUUAGCUAGUUGGUGAGGUAACGGCUCACCAAGGCAACGAUACAUAGCCGACCUGAGAGGGGGAUCGGCCACACUGGGACUGAGACACGGCCCAGACUCCUACGGGAGGCAGCAGUAGGGAAUCUUCGGCAAUGGACGGAAGUCUGACCGAGCAACGCCGCGUGAGUGAAGAAGGUUUUCGGAUCGUAAAGCUCUGUUGUAAGAGAAGAACGAGUGUGAGAGUGGAAAGUUCACACUGUGACGGUAUCUUACCAGAAAGGGACGGCUAACUACGUG
RNAcentral lists this ribosomal RNA (495 nucleotides) under uncultured bacterium. RNAcentral's name for it is "partial 16S ribosomal RNA". It matches the Rfam family "Bacterial small subunit ribosomal RNA", at positions 28 to 507 of the family's 1533-position model. The record is from RNAcentral.